RNAcentral lists this long non-coding RNA (1319 nucleotides) under Capsella grandiflora. Its description in RNAcentral is "long non-coding RNA (CGRA_LNC000606)". The stretch from base 128 to 373 matches the Rfam family "TeloSII non coding RNA 30". Lineage: Eukaryota; Viridiplantae; Streptophyta; Magnoliopsida; Brassicales; Brassicaceae. The record is from RNAcentral.
AUCACAUGACAAGACAAAACUCCACAUCAAAAACCCUAAAAGAAACAGAGAGGAGACACACAGACAAACAAGCUUCUUCCAAGUUGAUCAUCAAUGGCGUCAAUUGUUCUUCUACUCACUCAAAUCCUUCACCCUACUAACCCUGAAUUCCCUUCUUCUACCUCCAUGAUUCUCACAUCAUCUUCUUCUUUUUCUUCGUCUACCUAUUACACACAUGAAGAGAAAUCUCCAAUAGCCACAGGACUCGACAGUUUCAAGAUCUCACCUCUUCACGAAGAUCCUCAAGAUUCAAGAGUUAUGAUCGAUUUGUUUUAAACUUAACCCAUCUCUCUAUCUCUCUUAUGCUUUGUGUAUCUUUUUUUUUGUUUACCCUUUUUGGCCACGAAUUGUAGUAAUACUUAUGAGAAAAUCAAUGAAACCUUCACAAACGUAAGUGUAAUCUUAGUAUCUAAUUGUUUUUUUUUUUUUAAUUCUAUUCUUGUUACUUGAAAUUAUUGAAUUUGGUUGCAAGCGCCUCCACACACCAACCCAAUGCUACUACACCAACAACAUAAUUGCCACCCAACAACUCUUACUCCCAAGUACAAUCCACUGCUUCUGGCUGCAAAGGGACCAAAAUAUGUCAACUUUGAUAUUUGUUCCUCGUAGUCUCAAGAAACUUGUUUAUUACCUUUGAUAAGAUCGCCGGUGUUGGUAGCUCCACCGAUGUGUUCAGAUUGCCUCGAGUAUGAGACAAGAUACAGCUGCAACUGGAGGAUAGUAAAUUUUGAGAGAGCGCUUCGAUUAUCAAAAUUACCCCUUCCCUUCAAUCACUACACUUUGGCUCUGUACAGAGACUAUAUCCCCUCUGCAAUUUCAUAAGGAGCUUAGUAAAUUGAGAGCUUCCAAGACACACCUUAACUCGACAACAACAUAACCGGCCUCUCUCGAUUUCUCAUUUUACAUCACAAACCCUCGGCAAAAUUGGAUCUCCCAAGAUCAUUAUCCUCAUCCUUUCAAGCCAUUAUCUAACCAGAAGGGCUAAAUCCCCUAAACCAAAGACAGACCAAACUAAAUUCGUUUCAGAAUCAAAUCUAGUGAAUCAAACCUAUUAAAUCAAAUCUACAACAUCGAAUUGCAUCACAAGUGAACAACUACGACAACUCUAGAACAGCGAGUAAAAAAUGAAGGAUCAAGACAGUACCACCACCAUGGCUGCGUUGCCGCCGGCCGGAUAAGUGAGAUAUUUCAGUGGCGAUCCGGACUAGGCCAGUUUUUGUCAACACUCUAAAGAACCUUCUACAAUAGCUAGAGGUUUUGAGAUGAAAUAAACAACGGCC